This 445-nucleotide ribosomal RNA is filed under the name uncultured bacterium. RNAcentral describes it as "partial 16S ribosomal RNA". It matches the Rfam family "Bacterial small subunit ribosomal RNA", at positions 354 to 796 of the family's 1533-position model. The record is from RNAcentral.
GUGAGGAAUAUUGGUCAAUGGGCGGGAGCCUGAACCAGCCAAGUCGCGUGAAGGAAGAAGGAUCUAUGGUUCGUAAACUUCUUUUGCAGGGGAAUAAAGUGCGGGACGUGUCCUGUUUUGUAUGUACCCUGAGAAUAAGGAUCGGCUAACUCCGUGCCAGCAGCCGCGGUAAUACGGAGGAUCCGAGCGUUAUCCGGAUUUAUUGGGUUUAAAGGGUGCGUAGGUGGUUUGAUAAGUCAGCGGUGAAAGUUUGCAGCUUAACUGUAAAAAUGCCGUUGAAACUGUCAGACUUGAGUGUAAAUGAGGUAGGCGGAAUGCGUGGUGUAGCGGUGAAAUGCAUAGAUAUCACGCAGAACUCCGAUUGCGAAGGCAGCUUACUAAGCUACAACUGACACUGAAGCACGAAAGCGUGGGGAUCAAACAGGAUUAGAAACCCGUGUAGUCC